This is a non-coding RNA of Paramuricea clavata, 82 nucleotides long. Lineage: Eukaryota; Metazoa; Cnidaria; Anthozoa; Malacalcyonacea; Plexauridae. The record is from the annotation of a GenBank genome assembly.
AACAAUAUUUUGCUGCCCAUAUUGUUCUGGCUGAACAAUAUUGUUAACAACCAGGAACAAUAUGGGCAGCAAAAUAUUUUUA